RNAcentral lists this ribosomal RNA (459 nucleotides) under uncultured bacterium. RNAcentral describes it as "partial 16S ribosomal RNA". It matches the Rfam family "Bacterial small subunit ribosomal RNA", at positions 338 to 795 of the family's 1533-position model. The record is from RNAcentral.
CCUACGUGUGUCUUCAGUGAGGAAUAUUGGUCAAUGGCCGGAAGGCUGAACCAGCCAAGCCGCGUGAAGGACGCAGGUGCCAAGCAUUGUAAACUUCUUUUGUCAAGGGACAAAAUCAGGCUCGAGAGCCUGACCGAGGGUACUUGAAGAAAAAGCAUCGGCUAACUCCGUGCCAGCAGCCGCGGUAAUACGGAGGAUGCGAGCGUUCUCCGGAUUUCUUUGGUUUAAAGGGUUCGUAGGCGGACUUUUAUGUCAGCGGGAAAAGCCCGGGGCGCAACCCCGGCGAGCCGGUGAAACUGGCUGUCUUGAGAUGUCGAGAGGUAUGCGGAAUGCGCAGUGUAGCGGUGAAAUGCUUAGAUAUUGCGCAGAACUCCGAUUGCGAAGGCAGCAUACCGGCGGCGAUCUGACGCGGAGGCACGAAAGCGUGGGUAUCGAACAGGAUUAGAUACCCGUGUAGUC